GACGAACGCUGGCGGCGUGCUUAACACAUGCAAGUCGAACGGAAAGGCCCUGCUUUUGUGGGGUGCUCGAGUGGCGAACGGGUGAGUAACACGUGAAUAACCUGCCCUUGACUUUGGGAUAACUUCAGGAAACUGGGGCUAAUACCGGAUAGGAGCUCCUGCUGCAUGGUGGGGGUUGGAAAGUUUCGGCGGUUGGGGAUGGACUCGCGGCUUAUCAGCUUGUUGGUGGGGUAGUGGCUUACCAAGGCUUUGACGGGUAGCCGGCCUGAGAGGGUGACCGGCCACAUUGGGACUGAGAUACGGCCCAGACUCCUACGGGAGGCAGCAGUGGGGAAUAUUGCACAAUGGGCGGAAGCCUGAUGCAGCAACGCCGCGUGCGGGAUGACGGCCUUCGGGUUGUAAACCGCUUUCGCCUGUGACGAAGCGUGAGUGACGGUAACGGGUAAAGAAGCACCGGCUAACUACGUG
Molecule: ribosomal RNA, 468 nt
Filed under: uncultured bacterium
Lineage: Bacteria
Description: partial 16S ribosomal RNA
Rfam family: Bacterial small subunit ribosomal RNA
Source: RNAcentral